RNAcentral lists this ribosomal RNA (53 nucleotides) under Ophiocordyceps sinensis. Its description in RNAcentral is "partial 28S ribosomal RNA". The record is from RNAcentral. Lineage: Eukaryota; Fungi; Ascomycota; Sordariomycetes; Hypocreales; Ophiocordycipitaceae.
GACCUCGGAUCAGGUAGGGAUACCCGCUGAACUUAAGCAUAUAAUAAGCGGGA